RNAcentral lists this long non-coding RNA (1258 nucleotides) under Numida meleagris (helmeted guineafowl). RNAcentral's name for it is "lncRNA (ENSNMEG00000006593.1)". Lineage: Eukaryota; Metazoa; Chordata; Aves; Galliformes; Numididae. The record is from RNAcentral.
CAGUGAGGUGUGGGACAAACCCAGAAUGAAGUUGCCAGAUUGGUCAAGAAUCACUGUUCACUGGUGAAGAGAAAUAGCAUAGGAAGAAAUGAGAGUAGUAAUUGACUAAAACUACUGCAGUGAGAACAGAAGGGGAGCUCUAUGCCAGGAAACUCUUUUUACCCUGCAGGCAGCACCCAGAGAUCUGUUGAGUGCAGGAGUAUCCAAAGGAAAACACCACAUUAUGAAGGAGGUCACUUUAUCUGUCUUCAGAUGUAGCCCAGGAGUUGAAAUGUGGACCAGUCACUACAGUCUUUACAGUGUUUAUGUGAUGUUGGAAUACUGAGAUAAAGUUAUACUACCUUUGAAGACCAACAUAAUUUAAUACUGUUAUUUUAAUCUGAAGCCAGUAGCUAUUUUCAAAACAUAGAUCAUUAAGCUUUCUGAUUGUCAAAUAUGCUUCUAUAUGUAUGCCAUUUCUCCCCCAAUUAAUACUGGAGGUGCUUGUAGUCUAAGGAGCCAAAGACACAGAACAGCUCGUUAAGUAAUGUUGGGAUUGAAAGCCUCUAGCUACUCAUGUUAAAAGAAGUAUAAACAGCUAAAGAUUUUCCAGGUCUAGUAAAGCAGUGGCAUUUAUACGAAUAAGGGCAUCUUAGCUCAGAAAUAUAAGCUACAUCUGAAUGAACUCUUUGUAAAACAGAGACUCCUAGAAGGAAGUUAAAGUGAUUUAAGCUUUCCACAUUCUACAUGAAGGCAUACAGGAAAAAAAAAGAAGAAAAAAAGAAACAUCUUCAACCUUCUUGCAGUAUGACAAACUAGCUCAAAAGAAGAUUUUUGCAUAGCUUGCUUAAAAUAUUCCUAAAAUAGAUGAAAAACCACAACCCAGACAUUUGAACAAACGUGGGCAAAUACUGAAAAAAUGAUUAGCAAACAUAUCGGUGAAUUUCAAACAGAUUUUCCCUUUGUUGGUAACUUUUACAGCUGAACUUUUUUUUCUUCAACAGCUGUAUGCAUUGAAGCUCACAGAUGUUUAUGAAAAGCAAAUUUUAGAUCAGGAAUCAAGAUUUACUUAGGCUCUGUGACAGGAGACCACUUAAAUGUAUGCUUAGCUUGGAGUCUGUGGAAACAUUUGCAUGCUUAAAUCUGUUCUUCCAUAUUUUUUCUGAAUUGGGUCCAGAAUCAGAAAAUUAUACUAGGUUUAUGAUUAAAUGAAUCACAUUCUGAGAAGAAACAAGUUAUAAAAUUUAAAUCAGUAAUCCAUCUGAUAACUGGUUACAGU